GUGAGGACCAGGCAGCCCUGUACUGUCCCCUGCCAGCUGUCAGAAGACCCGAGUGCUGUGCGGCUCUAGGGCAUUCUCGAUGCUACUGACCCGCGGCUGGGCUGGGCUUGCAGGAACUCUGGAAG
Molecule: microRNA precursor, 125 nt
Organism: Equus caballus (horse)
Lineage: Eukaryota; Metazoa; Chordata; Mammalia; Perissodactyla; Equidae
Source: Ensembl